GAUGCUUAAAAAAGCAAUCGACUUACAAGGGUGUGAAAAAUGGCUCGAUAUUACAUCGAGAAAAGUAUGAUUUUUUUUGAAAAUGGUUUUGCAUGCAUGAUGGAUUUAAUAAAAAACAUGGACAUAAAAAAAAAAAUUACAAGAAACAAAAUACUAAAAGACAAUAAGAUAAUAAAAAAAAAAAGCUAAAAGAAAAUGAAAUACUAAAAAAAAAAAGCUACGUAUGAGUGUCGAACUCACUCCACCUAAGACUAU
RNAcentral lists this long non-coding RNA (255 nucleotides) under Lathyrus oleraceus (garden pea). Its description in RNAcentral is "Pisum sativum (pea) long non-coding RNA (PSAT_LNC012353)". Lineage: Eukaryota; Viridiplantae; Streptophyta; Magnoliopsida; Fabales; Fabaceae. The record is from RNAcentral.